This 484-nucleotide ribosomal RNA is filed under the name uncultured bacterium. Its description in RNAcentral is "partial 16S ribosomal RNA". It matches the Rfam family "Bacterial small subunit ribosomal RNA", at positions 30 to 507 of the family's 1533-position model. The record is from RNAcentral.
AUUGAACGCUGGCGGCAGGCCUAACACAUGCAAGUCGAGCGGAUGAAGGGAGCUUGCUCCUGGAUUCAGCGGCGGACGGGUGAGUAAUGCCUAGGAAUCUGCCUGGUAGUGGGGGAUAACGUCCGGAAACGGGCGCUAAUACCGCAUACGUCCUGAGGGAGAAAGUGGGGGAUCUUCGGACCUCACGCUAUCAGAUGAGCCUAGGUCGGAUUAGCUAGUUGUUGGGGUAAAGGCCUACCAAGGCGACGAUCCGUAACUGGUCUGAGAGGAUGAUCAGUCACACUGGAACUGAGACACGGUCCAGACUCCUACGGGAGGCAGCAGUGGGGAAUAUUGGAAAAUGGGCGAAAGCAUGAUCCAGCCAUGCCGCGUGUGUGAAGAAGGUCUUCGGAUUGUAAAGCACUUUAAGUUGGGAGGAAGGGCAGUAAGUUAAUACCUUGCUGUUUUGACGUUACCAACAGAAUAAGCACCGGCUAACUUCGUG